GACGAACGCUGGCGGCGUGCUUAACACAUGCAAGUCGAACGGAAAGGCCCUGCUUUUGUGGGGUGCUCGAGUGGCGAACGUGUGAGUAACACGUGAGUAACCUGCCCUUGACUUUGGUAUAACUUCAGGAAACUGGGUCUAAUACCGUAUAGGAGCUCCUGCUGCAUGGUGGGGGUUGGAAAGUUUCGGCGGUUGGGGAUGGACUCGCGGCUUAUCAGCUUUUUGGUGGGGUAGUGGCUUACCAAGGCUUUGACGGGUAGCCGGCAUGAGAGGGUGAACGGCAAAAGUGGGAAUGAGAUACGGAAAAGACUACUACGGGAGGCAGAAGUGGGGAAUAUUGAAAAAUGGGAGGAAGACUGAUGCAGAAAAGACGCGUGAGGGAUGAAGGCCUUCGGGUUGUAAAAAGCUUUAGCAUGUGAAGAAGAGUGAGUGACGGUAAUGGGUAAAGAAGAACCGGCUAACUACGUG
This 468-nucleotide ribosomal RNA is filed under the name uncultured bacterium. RNAcentral's name for it is "partial 16S ribosomal RNA". It matches the Rfam family "Bacterial small subunit ribosomal RNA", at positions 28 to 507 of the family's 1533-position model. The record is from RNAcentral.